UCGGGAAUUUUGGGCAAUGGGCGAAAGCCUGACCCAGCAACGCCGCAUGAGGGAUGAAGUAUUUCGGUAUGUAAACCUCGAAAGAAUGGGAAGAAUAAAUGACGGUACCAUUUAUAAGCUCCGGCUAACUACGUGCCAGCAGCCGCGGUAAUACGUAGGGAGCAAGCGUUGUUCGGAUUUACUGGGCGUAAAGGGCGCGUAGGCGGCGCGGUAAGUCACUUGUGAAAUCUCUGAGCUUAACUCAGAACGGCCAAGUGAUACUGCUGUGCUAGAGUGCGGAAGAGGCAACCGGAAUUCUUGGUGUAGCGGUGAAAUGCGUAGAUAUCAAGAGGAGCUCCUGAGGCGAAGGCGGGUUGCUGGGCCGACACUGACGCUGAUGCGCGAAAGCCAGGGGAGCAAACG
Molecule: ribosomal RNA, 402 nt
Filed under: uncultured bacterium
Lineage: Bacteria
Description: bacterial SSU rRNA
Rfam family: Bacterial small subunit ribosomal RNA
Source: RNAcentral